Molecule: long non-coding RNA, 585 nt
Filed under: Homo sapiens (human)
Lineage: Eukaryota; Metazoa; Chordata; Mammalia; Primates; Hominidae
Description: non-protein coding FRMD6-AS2:7
Source: RNAcentral
GUCCAGACUCUGAGGACCCAGGAGCCUCCAUGGGUACACUCAGAGGCCACACUAGAUGCAAAAAGAACCAUUUACAGAGAAGUGAGAGGUUCUCAAAGGCUCAACCAAAUGCCUCUGCCAGGAGAAUCUUUCAGAGUGUCCUGGAACAUUGGAAAUAGGCUUAAAGCUUAAAUGAUGAAUCAGAAGAGUUAUGCUGUAUUCUAAUGCUGCCACUAGGGCCACACAGGGUGCCAACAUCCAAUCUCAAGAUCUUCGGGAAAUAUGCUCACCCUCCAAAAUACUUACAGAUGUGUCUCCUCUUUUUUGUAAAAUAAAUGCUCUUCUUAUAUUUGGUGUUUCCUUGGUAUGGCCACAAGAUUAUUUAGUAUGACAUAUUUAAUGGUGAAGAUAAAGGGUCUUUAAUGGCUUCAGAAGUGCCCUGGGCUGAAACUUGAUCUGAGAAGGUUAUUAUCAGAACUGUGUUCCAAGAGAAAGCAGUGUGCUAGCUCUACAUGUAUACAUGAGUUGCCAUCAACAUGAAUUCAAUUACAAUGAAGAUAAUUUGGAGUAGACAAUUGUAUUUUGGUUGCAUGACAUCCAUUUUAU